CCCAACGGAAAGAGAAAAGUAAAUCAGCAAGAAGGAAAACUGAGAAGGAAACGAGGAGAGAUCAACAUGGAAAUGAAAACACGCAGCCGAAGGACACUACCCCCUUCGUUUAUGGCUACGUAAGAUUUAUGACUUCUACCACACAGGACUAGCUGUAAACAGCUACUUUAAAAAGAUGCAUUUCGUGUGGGAACUGGAAUAGAGAGGAUCACCAACGGGGUAGGAAGAAGGUAGGAGACAAAAAUGUAGGUGUCUGCAACUUUUUCUGCCUGACAUUGUUCUGGAUUUGCAACUACUGCUAAAUGGACAAAUGCAACCCACUUAAAAGAUUACUAAUGAACUAAAAACCCAAACGCUCCAGUAUUUUGUAUUUACAACUGGAAUUAUUUUCACGACUAAGCACAUACCGUGGGAAGUUAUUAUUAUUUCAGAGUUAUGGCAAGAGAAGGGUCUAUACCAACAUGAUUUUUGGGAUUACAACAUGCCGGUGCUUGUUAGAAGAUUGAGGAAGAGUAUUUUCGUCAUUUCCAUAGGAUGACAGAGAUGCGUCGCCUUCCUGAUACAUUGGAGUUGGCUGAGUCAUGGAUAUACUAUUUCAACGGUGGAAUAUGUGGACAGAUUUUGGGAUGCAAGGUUUUCUUUUUUUUCCCGCAGUGAACAUUGCAACCAACAUAUUACAUAAAGAGACUACAAACUCCAAUGAGAAAUUUCGUUCGGAUUUCCUAUUUUGUUAAUGAGAAGGAAAUCUUUUUAGGUGGAAAGUGUUUUGAAUGUUGGGUAUGGUUUUUUCAAGGGUAAAUGCUUGUGAUUGUGUGGUGAAUAUGCCAUUGAGUGUGAAUAUAUUUCAUUUAAAAUGUAUUGCGUGUUGUCCACUGUAUUCAUAUGACAGACCCCUUACACUGAAAUACAUAGCCUAUCUAUGUAUAUAUAUUGACAGUGUACGUUUUCCAUUUGGGACAAUAGGACAUUGCCACCUCUUUGCCUAUUUGCCUAUUUGAGUUAUCCUAUGAUUCUUCUGUCACACAUAUGCUGUAAGAAGAAUGCUGUUAGAUGGCUAAUCUACAUAACGCCACACACCCAUACACACCCAUACAUUCAUCAUCCAUAAUAUCCAUCAUAUAUUCCCCCAGAUACACUAUGGCAUUCAUUGCAUCAUCGAAAGAAGAGAGCACAAGGACACACACAAACAGGCACCACCAUUUUGACAAUGAUUUCGAUUAAUAUGUGGUGCUUUAUGCAUAUAGGCAAAGAGAUGUUUAUUUUGUAUUUAUAUAUUUUUUUUUAAAAGCUCAAUUGAAAAGCUCACAGGCCAUUCUCACGGGCUAGAUGUAUGCCAUAUUAGAGAAUAUUAUGAUACACACUCUUGGCCUAGGAAAUGUUUACCGAUUAUGUGAAUGUCAUAUGCAGACUAAAUCAUCACUGUUGAAUGUAUGCAAUGUGUGCAUACUCCAUUCCAAUAAAACAUAUUUACUUUCAAAUA
Salvelinus sp. IW2-2015 is the source of this 1480-nucleotide long non-coding RNA. RefSeq lists it as uncharacterized. Lineage: Eukaryota; Metazoa; Chordata; Actinopteri; Salmoniformes; Salmonidae. The record is from RefSeq and is a predicted model, not a curated record.